CACGUAGGCGGCUCAGCAAAUCAGUCGUGGAAUCCCGACGCUUACCGUCGGAACGGCGGCUGAAAAUACUGGGCUUGAGGGCGUGAGGGGUCACUGGAACUCUCGGUGAAGCGGUGAAAUGCGUAGAUAUCGGGAGGAACGCCGGAGGCGAAAGCGAGUGACUGGCGCGUUCCUGACGCUGAGGUGCGAAAGCUAGGGGAGCAAACA
RNAcentral lists this ribosomal RNA (207 nucleotides) under uncultured bacterium. RNAcentral's name for it is "partial 16S ribosomal RNA". It matches the Rfam family "Bacterial small subunit ribosomal RNA", at positions 568 to 774 of the family's 1533-position model. The record is from RNAcentral.